This 585-nucleotide ribosomal RNA is filed under the name uncultured bacterium. RNAcentral describes it as "partial 16S ribosomal RNA". It matches the Rfam family "Bacterial small subunit ribosomal RNA", at positions 355 to 1375 of the family's 1533-position model. The record is from RNAcentral.
UGGGGAAUUUUGGACAAUGGGCGAAAGCCUGAUCCAGCAAUGCCGCGUGUGUGAAGAGGGCCUUCGGGUUGUAAAGCACUUUUGUCCGGAAAGAAAUCCUUGGCUCUAAUACAGUCGGGGGAUGACGGUACCGGAAGAAUAAGCACCGGCUAACUACGUGCCAGCAGCCGCGGUAAUACGUAGGGCGCAAGCGUUAAUCGGAAUUACUGGGCGUAAAGCGUGCGCAGGCGGUUUGCUAAGACCGAUGUGAAAUCCCCGGGCUCAACCUGGGAACUGCAUUGGUGACUGGCAGGCUAGAGUAUGGCAGAGGGGGGUAGAAUUCCACGUGUAGCAGUGAAAUGCGUAGAGAUGUGGAGGAAUACCGAUGGCGAAGGCAGCCCCCUGGGCCAAUACUGACGCUCAUGCACGAAAGCGUGGGGAGCAAACAGGAUUAGAUACCCUGGUAGUCCACGCCCUAAACGAUGUCAACUAGUUGUUGGGGAUUCAUUUCCUUAGUAACGUAGCUAACGCGUGAAGUUGACCGCCUGGGGAGUACGGUCGCAAGAUUAAAACUCAAAGGAAUUGACGGGGUCAUAGCUGUUUCCU